RNAcentral lists this ribosomal RNA (400 nucleotides) under uncultured bacterium. RNAcentral describes it as "bacterial SSU rRNA". It matches the Rfam family "Bacterial small subunit ribosomal RNA", at positions 355 to 772 of the family's 1533-position model. The record is from RNAcentral.
UGGGGAAUAUUGGACAAUGGGGGAAACCCUGAUCCAGCAAUGCCGCGUGAGUGAUGAAGGCCUUCGGGUUGUAAAGCUCUUUUGGCAGGGACGAUGAUGACGGUACCUGCAGAAUAAGCCACGGCUAACUUCGUGCCAGCAGCCGCGGUAAUACGAAGGUGGCUAGCGUUGUUCGGAUUUACUGGGCGUAAAGGGAGCGUAGGCGGUGAAAUAAGUCAGAUGUGAAAGCCCAAGGCUUAACCUUGGAAUUGCAUUUGAAACUGUUUUGCUAGAGUGUGGGAGAGGAUAGCGGAAUUCCUAGUGUAGAGGUGAAAUUCGUAGAUAUUAGGAAGAACACCAGUGGCGAAGGCGGCUAUCUGGACCACAACUGACGCUGAGGCUCGAAAGCAUGGGGAUCAAA